UGGCCUCUUCUGUUUUGCCACUUCUGUGGGU
Molecule: non-coding RNA, 31 nt
Filed under: Mus musculus (house mouse)
Lineage: Eukaryota; Metazoa; Chordata; Mammalia; Rodentia; Muridae
Source: RNAcentral